Molecule: ribosomal RNA, 292 nt
Filed under: uncultured bacterium
Lineage: Bacteria
Description: partial 16S ribosomal RNA
Rfam family: Bacterial small subunit ribosomal RNA
Source: RNAcentral
GUGUCAGCAGCCGCGGUAAUACAGAGGGGGCAAGCGUUAUUCGGAAUUAUUGGGCGUAAAGGGCGCGUAGGCGGUGUUUUAAGUGGGAUGUGCAAUCCCCGGGCUUAACCUGGGAACUGCAUCCCAGACUGGAACGCUGGAGUACUGGAGAGGGUGGUGGAAUUCCACGUGUAGCGGUGAAAUGCGUAGAGAUGUGGAGGAACACCAGUGGCGAAGGCGGCCACCUGGACAGUAACUGACGCUGAGGCGCGAAAGUGUGGGUAGCAAACAGGAUUAGAAACCCCCGUAGUCC